Molecule: ribosomal RNA, 1442 nt
Filed under: Klebsiella variicola
Lineage: Bacteria; Pseudomonadati; Pseudomonadota; Gammaproteobacteria; Enterobacterales; Enterobacteriaceae
Description: bacterial SSU rRNA
Rfam family: Bacterial small subunit ribosomal RNA
Source: RNAcentral
AGUCGAGCGGGUAGCACAGAGAGCUUGCUCUCGGGUGACGAGCGGCGGACGGGUGAGUAAUGUCUGGGAAACUGCCUGAUGGAGGGGGAUAACUACUGGAAACGGUAGCUAAUACCGCAUAACGUCGCAAGACCAAAGUGGGGGACCUUCGGGCCUCAUGCCAUCAGAUGUGCCCAGAUGGGAUUAGCUGGUAGGUGGGGUAACGGCUCACCUAGGCGACGAUCCCUAGCUGGUCUGAGAGGAUGACCAGCCACACUGGAACUGAGACACGGUCCAGACUCCUACGGGAGGCAGCAGUGGGGAAUAUUGCACAAUGGGCGCAAGCCUGAUGCAGCCAUGCCGCGUGUGUGAAGAAGGCCUUCGGGUUGUAAAGCACUUUCAGCGGGGAGGAAGGCGGUGAGGUUAAUAACCUCAUCGAUUGACGUUACCCGCAGAAGAAGCACCGGCUAACUCCGUGCCAGCAGCCGCGGUAAUACGGAGGGUGCAAGCGUUAAUCGGAAUUACUGGGCGUAAAGCGCACGCAGGCGGUCUGUCAAGUCGGAUGUGAAAUCCCCGGGCUCAACCUGGGAACUGCAUUCGAAACUGGCAGGCUAGAGUCUUGUAGAGGGGGGUAGAAUUCCAGGUGUAGCGGUGAAAUGCGUAGAGAUCUGGAGGAAUACCGGUGGCGAAGGCGGCCCCCUGGACAAAGACUGACGCUCAGGUGCGAAAGCGUGGGGAGCAAACAGGAUUAGAUACCCUGGUAGUCCACGCUGUAAACGAUGUCGAUUUGGAGGUUGUGCCCUUGAGGCGUGGCUUCCGGAGCUAACGCGUUAAAUCGACCGCCUGGGGAGUACGGCCGCAAGGUUAAAACUCAAAUGAAUUGACGGGGGCCCGCACAAGCGGUGGAGCAUGUGGUUUAAUUCGAUGCAACGCGAAGAACCUUACCUGGUCUUGACAUCCACAGAACUUAGCAGAGAUGCUUUGGUGCCUUCGGGAACUGUGAGACAGGUGCUGCAUGGCUGUCGUCAGCUCGUGUUGUGAAAUGUUGGGUUAAGUCCCGCAACGAGCGCAACCCUUAUCCUUUGUUGCCAGCGGUUCGGCCGGGAACUCAAAGGAGACUGCCAGUGAUAAACUGGAGGAAGGUGGGGAUGACGUCAAGUCAUCAUGGCCCUUACGACCAGGGCUACACACGUGCUACAAUGGCAUAUACAAAGAGAAGCGACCUCGCGAGAGCAAGCGGACCUCAUAAAGUAUGUCGUAGUCCGGAUUGGAGUCUGCAACUCGACUCCAUGAAGUCGGAAUCGCUAGUAAUCGUAGAUCAGAAUGCUACGGUGAAUACGUUCCCGGGCCUUGUACACACCGCCCGUCACACCAUGGGAGUGGGUUGCAAAAGAAGUAGGUAGCUUAAGCUCCUGUUCGCGGGAGGAAAAGAGAGGAGGAGAAAAAGAAGAAAGAAAAAAAAA